Molecule: ribosomal RNA, 253 nt
Filed under: uncultured bacterium
Lineage: Bacteria
Description: partial 16S ribosomal RNA
Rfam family: Bacterial small subunit ribosomal RNA
Source: RNAcentral
UACAGAGGUCCCGAGCGUUGUUCGGAUUCACUGGGCGUAAAGGGUGCGCAGGUGGCGCUUCAAGUUUGAUGUGAAAGCCCCAAGCUCAACUUGGGAAUGGCAUUGAAUACUGGAGUGCUUGAGGUUUGGAGGGGGGACUGGAAUUCUUGGUGUAGCAGUGAAAUGCGUAGAUAUCAAGAGGAACACCAGUGGCGAAGGCGAGUCCCUGGACAACACCUGACACUGAGGCACGAAAGCUAGGGGAGCAAACAGG